UGCAUCACGUGUGACCUCCGUA
RNAcentral lists this microRNA (22 nucleotides) under Ornithorhynchus anatinus (platypus). Its description in RNAcentral is "Oan-Mir-1421-P7b_3p* (star (passenger))". Lineage: Eukaryota; Metazoa; Chordata; Mammalia; Monotremata; Ornithorhynchidae. The record is from RNAcentral.